GAUGAACGCUGGCGGCGUGCCUAAUACAUGCAAGUCGAGCGAACGGACGAGAAGCUUGCUUCUCUGAUGUUAGCGGCGGACGGGUGAGUAACACGUGUAUAACCUACCUAUAAGACUGGGAUAACUUCGGGAAACCUGAGCUAAUACCGGAUAAUAUUUUGAACCGCAUGGUUCAAAAGUGAAAGACGGUCUUGCUGUCACUUAUAGAUGGAUCCGCGCUGCAUUAGCUAGUUGGUAAGGUAACGGCUUACCAAGGCAACGAUGCAUAGCCGACCUGAGAGGGUGAUCGGCCACACUGGAACUGAGACACGGUCCAGACUCCUACGGGAGGCAGCAGUAGGGAAUCUUGCGCAAUGGGCGAAAGCCUGACGGAGCAACGCCGCGUGAGUGAUGAAGGUCUUCGGAUCGUAAAACUCUGUUAUUAGGGAAGAACAUAUGUGUAAGUAACUGUGCACAUCUUGACGGUACCUAAUCAGAAAGCCACGGCUAACUACGUG
This 497-nucleotide ribosomal RNA is filed under the name uncultured bacterium. Its description in RNAcentral is "partial 16S ribosomal RNA". It matches the Rfam family "Bacterial small subunit ribosomal RNA", at positions 28 to 507 of the family's 1533-position model. The record is from RNAcentral.